UACGAAGGGGGCUAGCGUUGUUCGGAAUUACUGGGCGUAAAGCGCACGUAGGCGGGUCGUUAAGUCAGGGGUGAAAUCCCGGAGCUCAACUCCGGAACUGCCUUUGAUACUGGCGAUCUAGAGAUCGAGAGAGGUGAGUGGAAUUCCGAGUGUAGAGGUGAAAUUCGUAGAUAUUCGGAAGAACACCAGUGGCGAAGGCGACUCACUGGACAUGUAUUGACGCUGAGGUGCGAAAGCGUGGGGAGCAAACAGG
This 253-nucleotide ribosomal RNA is filed under the name uncultured bacterium. RNAcentral's name for it is "partial 16S ribosomal RNA". It matches the Rfam family "Bacterial small subunit ribosomal RNA", at positions 524 to 776 of the family's 1533-position model. The record is from RNAcentral.